RNAcentral lists this ribosomal RNA (253 nucleotides) under uncultured bacterium. RNAcentral's name for it is "partial 16S ribosomal RNA". It matches the Rfam family "Bacterial small subunit ribosomal RNA", at positions 524 to 776 of the family's 1533-position model. The record is from RNAcentral.
UACGGGGGGGGCAAGCGUUGUUCGGAAUUACUGGGCGUAAAGGGCGCGUAGGCGGCCUUCUAAGUCGAACGUGAAAUCCCCGGGCUCAACCCGGGAACUGCGUCCGAUACUGGAAGGCUUGAAUCCGGGAGAGGGAUGCGGAAUUCCAGGUGUAGCGGUGAAAUGCGUAGAUAUUGGGAAGAACACCAGUGGCGAAAGCGAGCUUCUGGGUUGUUACUGACGCUGAGGUACGAAAGCGUGGGGAGCAAACGGG